CAGUGCGGGGGGGCUAUACAUGCAGUCGAGCGAAUGGAUUAAGAGCUUGCUCUUAUGAAGUUAGCGGCGGACGGGUGAGUAACACGUGGGUAACCUGCCCAUAAGACUGGGAUAACUCCGGGAAACCGGGGCUAAUACCGGAUAACAUUUUGAACCGCAUGGUUCGAAAUUGAAAGGCGGCUUCGGCUGUCACUUAUGGAUGGACCCGCGUCGCAUUAGCUAGUUGGUGAGGUAACGGCUCACCAAGGCAACGAUGCGUAGCCGACCUGAGAGGGUGAUCGGCCACACUGGGACUGAGACACGGCCCAGACUCCUACGGGAGGCAGCAGUAGGGAAUCUUCCGCAAUGGACGAAAGUCUGACGGAGCAACGCCGCGUGAGUGAUGAAGGCUUUCGGGUCGUAAAACUCUGUUGUUAGGGAAGAACAAGUGCUAGUUGAAUAAGCUGGCACCUUGACGGUACCUAACCAGAAAGCCACGGCUAACUACGUGCCAGCAGCCGGGGUAAUACGUAGGUGGCAAGCGUUAUCCGGAAUUAUUGGGCGUAAAGCGCGCGCAGGUGGUUUCUUAAGUCUUGAUGUGAAAGCCCACGGCUCAACCGUGGAGGGUCAUUGGAAACUGGGAAGACUUCAGUGCAGAAGA
This 640-nucleotide ribosomal RNA is filed under the name Bacillus cereus. RNAcentral's name for it is "bacterial SSU rRNA". It matches the Rfam family "Bacterial small subunit ribosomal RNA", at positions 36 to 655 of the family's 1533-position model. The record is from RNAcentral. Lineage: Bacteria; Bacillati; Bacillota; Bacilli; Caryophanales; Bacillaceae.